RNAcentral lists this unclassified non-coding RNA (387 nucleotides) under soil metagenome. Its description in RNAcentral is "partial contains 5.8S ribosomal RNA, internal transcribed spacer 2, and large subunit ribosomal RNA". The stretch from base 1 to 121 matches the Rfam family "5.8S ribosomal RNA", at positions 35 to 154 of the family's 154-position model. The record is from RNAcentral.
GAUGAAGAACGUAGCGAAAUGCGAUAAGUAAUGUGAAUUGCAGAUUUUCAGUGAAUCAUCGAAUCUUUGAACGCACCUUGCGCUCCCUGGUAUUCCGGGGAGCAUGCCUGUUUGAGUGUCAUUAAAUUCUCAACCCCGAUCGGAUUUGUUUUCGCAUUCGGAGGCUUGGAUAGUGGAGCGUGCUGGCCCCCUCUCAUGGGUCGGCUCCUCUCAAAUGCAUUCGCGGAAUCGACUUUGGUCCAUUUCGGUCAUCAGUGUGAUAAACGUUGCGCUGUUGGCUAGGAUCGAGGUGCCGCAUACAAUGGUCUUCGGACAAUUUUAUAAACCAUUUGACCUCAAAUCAGGUAGGACUACCCGCUGAACUUAAGCAUAUCAAUAAGCGGAGGA